RNAcentral lists this ribosomal RNA (484 nucleotides) under uncultured bacterium. RNAcentral's name for it is "partial 16S ribosomal RNA". It matches the Rfam family "Bacterial small subunit ribosomal RNA", at positions 30 to 507 of the family's 1533-position model. The record is from RNAcentral.
AUUGAACGCUGGCGGCAGGCCUAACACAUGCAAGUCGAGCGGAUGAAGGGAGCUUGCUCCUGGAUUCAGCGGCGGACGGGUGAGUAAUGCCUAGGAAUCUGCCUGGUAGUGGGGGAUAACGUCCGGAAACGGGCGCUAAUACCGCAUACGUCCUGAGGGAGAAAGUGGGGGAUCUUCGGACCUCACGCUAUCAGAUGAGCCUAGGUCGGAUUAGCUAGUUGGUGGGGUAAAGGCCUACCAAGGCGACGAUCCGUAACUGGUCUGAGAGGAUGAUCAGUCACACUGGAACUGAGACACGGUCCGGACUCCUACGGGAGGCAGCAGUGGGGAAUAUUGGACAAUGGGCGAAAGCCUGAUCCAGCCAUGCCGCGUGUGUGAAGAAGGUCUUCGGAUUGUAAAGCACUUUAAGUUGGGAGGAAGGGCGGUAAGUUAAUACCUUGCUGUUUUGACGUUACCAACAGAAUAAGCACCGGCUAACUUCGUG